AAACAGAAACAGGGGUGCCGCGCCGUUUUCGGGCGCAGCUGAGAGUUACCCUUACACCCGAUCAGGAUAAUGCCUGCGUGGGAAGUUUCGGCCUAUUGUAU
Molecule: non-coding RNA, 101 nt
Filed under: Neisseria dentiae
Lineage: Bacteria; Pseudomonadati; Pseudomonadota; Betaproteobacteria; Neisseriales; Neisseriaceae
Description: TPP sequence
Rfam family: TPP riboswitch aptamer (THI element)
About the family: Vitamin B(1) in its active form thiamin pyrophosphate (TPP) is an essential coenzyme that is synthesised by coupling of pyrimidine and thiazole moieties in bacteria. The previously detected thiamin-regulatory element, thi box was extended, resulting in a new, highly conserved RNA secondary structure, the THI element, which is widely distributed in eubacteria and also occurs in some archaea. Analysis of operon structures identified a large number of new candidate thiamin-regulated genes, mostly transporters, in various prokaryotic organisms.
Source: Rfam by way of RNAcentral